GCGCGUGUGUGUGUACACAACAUCGAGAGCAGGAAAAUGGACUCAUUAGGGAGGCAGGCGGUCGGGAGCGCUCGCGCUGUAGUGCCGGGGAGACGGAGGCUAUGAGGAGGCAAACUGAGGACGGGGGAACAAGCAGCAUAAAGAAGAAGUGUUGAGAGCUGCUCUCAGCCCUUUUGGAGUCCGAAGUCAAAAGGGAACUAGGGGGCUUGACACAUCCCUUGCAUCUUCCAUUUACUCUGACCACAGUCCCUCCCUGUUCUCUCAAGUGGAGCUAAGCCCUGCUUCCCUCCCUCUUGAUUCCCAGACAGCUACAUGACUGCCUGAAGUUACACUGUAGAUGCUGAAAUCACUGCACCUUAAAAACAAAAAGAUUAAGCUGCACUGCAUUCUUGUAAGUAAAAGCUUUUCCGGUACCUUUUGUCAGUAUUUUUCCUCACUACACAUCCAAAGUGUUAGCACAGUAACUGCUCUUGGAUAAAGGUCAAAGUCCCCUUGAAUAGGAUUUAGAAGUUCAAAGGAUGUUUUAUUUAAAAAUUAGAACUAAACUUGAAUCUUUCAGAUCUUUAAUUUCAGACCCCUGAAUAGAUCUUUCUUUUUCGCUUUGAUUUGAUUAUUAUUAGGAAUAGUGUGUGUCUGUUGACGUACGGCUCCUGUGGCUUUGUCAGCAAGGAUUUCUGCACUUUGGAGUAGAGAUAAUAGAAAAUAGCAGAAGGUUCCUCAUAGCAUAAAAUACAGUUUGCUCUCUUUUUUUGUUGUCGUAAUAAAAUGUUGUCCCUUGUAUAAGAAAAAGAUGGAAUGUCUUUCUAAUGACAUCACAGGAGGCUUCGGCUGCUUUAGGACAUGGAUGAAGGCAGAGAUGCCUUAUUCAUCUGUGCCGCGAUACAACAAAACAGUCAAAAUAAUGUCUUGUGUCUCUCAGUAAGAAAGCAGCCUCUUUCUAAGGGCUUAGUUAUUCCAUAAAUGCAAGGCACAUCGUACAUCUACCCUUAUUUAGAAUGUGUUCACUGAAUAUGUUUGGGUAAAUAAUUAAGAUUUGGAACUUCUGUGGGUGAAGAACAAGUGAGUAAAAGAGGACUUGGAAGUGCUGUAGAUUCAGAUACUCCAAAUUUAACAAAAUAAUAUAUGAGUAAAAAUCCAAGAGUUUGAAGAUAGAAAGAAUUGAUUUUUUAGUUUGACAGCGCAAAGCUGUGGAGUAUGACAAAGCAAAGUCAGUUUGUUUUCUUCUCUGAGAUCAAAAUGUACAGUCUGUAAUGAAAUCCAGCGUCUCUUUCCAAAGUGAUUCUUUCGUACUUUCAGUAUUAAAAUAUUUUAACUAUUCCAUUGUUGUUUUUUUUUUUUUUAACUCUCUGUCCCCCCAACUUUUUUUUCCUUCAAAUUGUGUUUUAACGAUUUAGUUUAAACUAGCUGAAGGGUACAGUACACUGUGGGCAGCUAAUGCAUGCCCCUUCCAGUGUGGAACACCAAGCAUGACUCAGGCAGGCAGAUUGUGCCAUUCUGGCUCAGCUCCAUUGUGUUUUUACAUUACUGGGAAGGGCCGUGCCAUUGUGUUGCUUAAAUAUUGUGCAUUAACUGCAGGCUGUGGCUAGUGAAUUGUAUUUAACAUUUUCUCCUCAUCAUGACUGAAUAUCUGCCAUGAGCAGCUUCCCUGGCCAUGAGAGGUUAACCUUGCAAUUUGAGGGAUGACCUGAAGUGGUGAACUUGUUGGGUCCAGCAACAAUUCAAACGGAGGUGUUAGGAGCAAGGGGGAAAGUUAGUGGACAUUUGUAAAUCUCAGAGUACUGAGUAUCAAAGUUGUCUGUCUUUUUUUUUUUUGUGUGUGUUUAUAACCAGGAGCACAGUGAUUAAUUGUUCUUAGUGUCCUCUGGGAGAAAGACCCGAAGAAAUCAGUUCAGUGAGCAGUGAAAAUUACCAAGGUACAUAUUAAGAACCAUGUUCUGCCUGUGUAGGCAGUAAAACCCUGGGACACACUACCUCUAGGUACUUUGGAAACAGGGGAAGUUUCUUUUUGAAGGAAUGGGUUGGAAAACUACCUCAGUAGUGUGCCGUAAGACGGGGCGAGAUGAGUUUUGUUAUUCUCUUGCAUUUCUCUGAUUCAGCAUACCAUUUGGAAAUGUUGGUAUGUGGCUAGUACAUUCCUGAUUAAUAAAGCUUAAUGUUCCCAAAAGAUCCCUAGGGUUCUCAUUUUUCCAUCCUCUCAUAACUAAAACCGUACUGUCUCUUCAAAGAUUUCAGUGGGCUGCCAGUGUUCUGUUCUGACCCUUCUUUAUUUUAAGAGAAAAGACAGGGGAGGGUAUCAUACACACGCCAAAGGACAGAUGUUUGGUUGUUGUGCAUCUGUAUGGUUUCUUGACAGGCAGUGUAUUAAUCCUGAUUAGAUUCAGUUCCUGUUUUUGAAAAUUUGGAUGAAUUGAAACAGUCCAGGUAUAGUCUGGUACAAAGGCCCAUGACAAAGAUUAUGGAGAUAGUUUAAAGGUGCAAGUAUGUAAUGGGACUGGAGUAAAGCUUUGUGCAAAAAGCAGUUUCUCAGGAGAUAAUGAGCUUUCAGUUUUCUGAAUUUUCAUGCAAACAUUCUUGAAAAAUAUUUUCACUUUAUGAAACUGCCAACCUCAGAGUGCAGUUGGCCAGCCUGAUAACAUUUCUAGUUCUCAGGUUGGUUUUAAUCAGUCCUGUUCACAAUGUAGCGUAGAGAAGAGUUGGGAAUGAUUGUCAGUCAAGUCUAUCACCUUUUUUGUUGUUAUUUUGCAAAAACACUGGGGUCGUGCUUUUUCUAGUUCUGUAUGUUGAGACCAUCAAUUGUAGUGUACAGAAGAAUAGAACUCUGACUUUUAUUGCAUGUGGCAGCUCUUGGUUUUGCAGAAUAGUGGCCACAAUAGAUAAAGAUAGGAAAAUGGCUUUCUAAUGUGUGGUUGUUUUGGUAUAUAAAGGAGUAUGGUUGUGAGUUACUCAUAUUAAAAAGACAUGGGAAUAUCAGCACUGAUUCCCUGAGUAGCACUACUGGAGUAAGUUGUAAAACACUUCAGUAUUUCAGUACCUGAAGAUGUAGGAGUGGAAAAUCUCUAACUCCAUUUAUCGAAGAACUUGCUGAUAUAACUUCAAGACAAAGGAGAGACCACAGAUCAUUGAGCACAUAUCAAGAUUAUAAAGACACUAUUAUAAAUAUUAUAAAGACCAAAGAUAAAAAGAGCAACACAGGCCUGGCCUUUUCUGGUUCCUGGUACUCUUAUUUUCUUCUAUCCAAAAUGAGAUUCUUCAGCUAAAUCAGUAUAUAACGGGAGGAACUCCACAGAAAAGCAUUGUGGUUAUUCCAUAUUUACAUCAGUGCCCUUGGGGAGACUCUCACUGAAUCAUUUUAAAUUCCAGCAUCUGAUGUAGGACAGUCUGAUGAAUGUAAGAUACCAAAAAAUUCUGAUCUGUUUUCUUCAUUAGUGUAAGUGGUCUAGCUCUGAAUUUUACGAUCGAGUAUCUAGUUCUUCUUAUUGCCCUCUUUCCCGUCAUUGCCCCUGCAUCUAAAUAAUAGAUUAGAACAGAUUUUAAUUUCAGUUGUGUCAAAAUUGAUCUAUUGUUUUCAACAGUUUCCACUGGCACAGAAGAGAUCAGAAUAUUUUUAAUUUAUUAUUUUAUUUAUUUAAAUAAAUCAUCUGCAGAACUGCACUGCUAACAUGUUCAUUGCUUUGGUGCCAAUGCAUGCUCUGG
Molecule: long non-coding RNA, 3693 nt
Filed under: Gallus gallus (chicken)
Lineage: Eukaryota; Metazoa; Chordata; Aves; Galliformes; Phasianidae
Description: lncRNA (ENSGALG00010006982.1)
Source: RNAcentral